Molecule: ribosomal RNA, 1548 nt
Filed under: Escherichia coli
Lineage: Bacteria; Pseudomonadati; Pseudomonadota; Gammaproteobacteria; Enterobacterales; Enterobacteriaceae
Description: bacterial SSU rRNA
Rfam family: Bacterial small subunit ribosomal RNA
Source: RNAcentral
AAAUUGAAGAGUUUGAUCAUGGCUCAGAUUGAACGCUGGCGGCAGGCCUAACACAUGCAAGUCGAACGGUAACAGGAAACAGCUUGCUGUUUCGCUGACGAGUGGCGGACGGGUGAGUAAUGUCUGGGAAACUGCCUGAUGGAGGGGGAUAACUACUGGAAACGGUAGCUAAUACCGCAUAACGUCGCAAGACCAAAGAGGGGGACCUUCGGGCCUCUUGCCAUCGGAUGUGCCCAGAUGGGAUUAGCUAGUAGGUGGGGUAACGGCUCACCUAGGCGACGAUCCCUAGCUGGUCUGAGAGGAUGACCAGCCACACUGGAACUGAGACACGGUCCAGACUCCUACGGGAGGCAGCAGUGGGGAAUAUUGCACAAUGGGCGCAAGCCUGAUGCAGCCAUGCCGCGUGUAUGAAGAAGGCCUUCGGGUUGUAAAGUACUUUCAGCGGGGAGGAAGGGAGUAAAGUUAAUACCUUUGCUCAUUGACGUUACCCGCAGAAGAAGCACCGGCUAACUCCGUGCCAGCAGCCGCGGUAAUACGGAGGGUGCAAGCGUUAAUCGGAAUUACUGGCGUAAAGCGCACGCAGGCGGUUUGUUAAGUCAGAUGUGAAAUCCCCGGGCUCAAACCUGGGAACUGCAUCUGAUACUGGCAAGCUUGAGUCUCGUAGAGGGGGGUAGAAUUCCAGGUGUAGCGGUGAAAUGCGUAGAGAUCUGGAGGAAUACCGGUGGCGAAGGCGGCCCCCUGGACGAAGACUGACGCUCAGGUGCGAAAGCGUGGGGGAGCAAACAGGAUUAGAUACCCCUGGUACGUCCACGCCCGUAAACGAUGUCGACUUGGAGGUUGUGCCCUUGAGGCGUGGCUUCCGGAGCUAACGCGUUAAAGUCGACCGCCUGGGGAGUACGGCCGCAAGGUUAAAAACUCAAAUGAAUUGACGGGGGCCCGCACAAGCGGUGGAGCAUGUGGUUUAAUUCGAUGCAACGCGAAGAACCUUACCUGGUCUUGACAUCCACAGAACUUUCCAGAGAUGGAUUGGUGCCUUCGGGAACUGUGAGACAGGUGCUGCAUGGCUGUCGUCAGCUCGUGUUGUGAAAUGUUGGGUUAAGUCCCGCAACGAGCGCAACCCUUAUCCUUUGUUGCCAGCGGUCCGGCCGGGAACUCAAAGGAGACUGCCAGUGAUAAACUGGAGGAAGGUGGGGAUGACGUCAAGUCAUCAUGGCCCUUACGACCAGGGCUACACACGUGCUACAAUGGCGCAUACAAAGAGAAGCGACCUCGCGAGAGCAAGCGGACCUCAUAAAGUGCGUCGUAGUCCGGAUUGGAGUCUGCAACUCGACUCCAUGAAGUCGGAAUCGCUAGUAAUCGUGGAUCAGAAUGCCACGGUGAAUACGUUCCCGGGCCUUGUACACACCGCCCGUCACACCAUGGGAGUGGGUUGCAAAAGAAGUAGGUAGCUUAACCUUCGGGAGGGCGCUUACCACUUUGUGAUUCAUGACUGGGGUGAAGUCGUAACAAGGUAACCGUAGGGGAACCUGCGGUUGGAUCACCUCCUUA